AAACGUAGGAGGCGAGCGUUAUCCGGAAUUACUGGGCGUAAAGGGCAUGCAGGCGGCUUGGUAAGUUGGACGUGAAAGCUCCUGGCUUAACUGGGAGAGUGCGUUCGAAACUGCUGAGCUUGAGGCUGGGAGAGGGGUGUGGAAUUCCCGGUGUAGUGGUGGAAUGCGUAGAUAUCGGGAGGAACACCAGUGGCGGAAGCGGCACCCUGGACCAGGCCUGACGCUGAUAUGCGAAAGCGUGGGGAGC
Molecule: ribosomal RNA, 247 nt
Filed under: uncultured bacterium
Lineage: Bacteria
Description: partial 16S ribosomal RNA
Rfam family: Bacterial small subunit ribosomal RNA
Source: RNAcentral